Molecule: ribosomal RNA, 454 nt
Filed under: uncultured bacterium
Lineage: Bacteria
Description: bacterial SSU rRNA
Rfam family: Bacterial small subunit ribosomal RNA
Source: RNAcentral
GUACGGGAGGCAGCAGGUGGGGAAUAUUGCACAAGUGGGCGCAAGCCUGAUGCAGCCAUGCCGCGUGUAUGAAGAAGGCCUUCGGGUUGUAAAGUACUUUCAGUCGUGAGGAAGGUGUUAAGGUUAAUAACCUUAGCAAUUGACGUUAGCGACAGAAGAAGCACCGGCUAACUCCGUGCCAGCAGCCGCGGUAAUACGGAGGGUGCGAGCGUUAAUCGGAAUUACUGGGCGAAGGGCACGCAGGCGGUUAAUUAAGUUGGAUGUGAAUCCCCGGGCUUAACCUGGGAAUGGCAUUCAAGACUGGUUAGCUAGAGUCUUGUAGAGGGGGUAGAAUUCCAUGUGUAGCGGUGAAAUGCGUAGAGAUGUGGAGGAAUACCGGUGGCGAAGGCGGCCCCUGGGACAAAGACUGACGCUCAUGUGCGAAAGCGUGGGGAGGCAAACAGGAUUAGAUACC